GUUAUUAAACCCAUUGUACAGAGCUAGAGGUUGAUCCCCUGCCAUCCUACCCACUGCUUUUUCUUAUUUUAUUUAUUUUUUAUUUUUUCAUGUACCAGGGAUUGAACCCAGGGGUGUUUAAACACUGAGCCACAUCACCAACUCUUUAUUUUCUGUUUUGAAACAGGGUCUCACUAAGGUGCUUAGAUAUGCAACCCCCGCUUGCAUAUCUUUUUAAAGAUUCUGCUCUGUGUAUUACAAAACACGUACUCUGCAGAACAGAGCUCCAGUUCCCAGCUGAGGAUGCUGCAUUCAAAGGGCAGCCCUGAAAACAGCAAGCUAUCAUCUUCUAUUGCAUGCCUGCAUGAAUCUCCCAACUGGUAUCUCUGCCAGGUUGUUCUCAACCAAAUCAACCAAAUCCUCUGUCAACUGGUGGCAUGUAUACCAUGGGAUCACUCAUCCCUUGAAGCUGAUUGGACCAGGGGAGACCAUCCAUUGAUUAUCAGCUAAUCAGAUUCUCCACUGGACUUCAUCUUCUUGAAAUACCUGUGUAGCCUUUAAAUCUGUACUCUUUGUGAACUGUUUGCUUCCAAAUCCACCAAAAGCACAGAAAUUGCAAGUAAGAUCUAGACAUUUUCGUAGUUAUUUUGUCAAUUGUCUAUGGAAUCUAAUGGUUUAAAAAAAAAAAACAUAGUUCGUAAUUUACAGGUCUUAUCAUUUUUCUCUUAAUUUUCUAAAAAAUAUUAAUACGAUGUUUCAGAAAGCAAAACUAAAAC
This 755-nucleotide long non-coding RNA is filed under the name Marmota monax (woodchuck). Lineage: Eukaryota; Metazoa; Chordata; Mammalia; Rodentia; Sciuridae. The record is from RNAcentral.